Molecule: ribosomal RNA, 515 nt
Filed under: uncultured bacterium
Lineage: Bacteria
Description: bacterial SSU rRNA
Rfam family: Bacterial small subunit ribosomal RNA
Source: RNAcentral
GAUCCUGGCUCAGGAUGAACGCUAGCUACAGGCUUAACACAUGCAAGUCGAGGGGCAGCAGGACGAUAGCUUGCUAUUGUUGCUGGCGACCGGCGCACGGGUGAGUAACGCGUAUCCAACCUUCCCCUUAGUAGGGCAUAGCCCGGUGAAAAUCGGAUUAAUACCCUAUGUUGUGUCAUGAGGACAUCUGAAUAACACUAAAGAUUUAUCGCUAAGGGAUGGGGAUGCGUCCGAUUAGGUAGUCGGCGGGGUAACGGCCCACCGAGCCCUCGAUCGGUAGGGGUUCUGAGAGGAAGGUCCCCCACACUGGUACUGAGACACGGACCAGACUCCUACGGGAGGCAGCAGUGAGGAAUAUUGGUCAAUGGGCGUAAGCCUGAACCAGCCAAGUAGCCGUGCAGGAUGACGGCCCUAUGGGUUGUAAACUGCUUUUAUACGGGGAUAAAGUGAGGGACGUGUCCCUUAUUGUAGGUACCGUAUGAAUAAGGACCGGCUAAUUCCGUGCCAGCAGCCGC